CCUACGGGAGGCUGCAGUGAGGAAUAUUGGUCAAUGGACGAGAGUCUGAACCAGCCAAGUAGCGUGAAGGAUGACUGCCCUAUGGGUUGUAAACUUCUUUUAUAUGGGAAUAAAAUGUUCCACGUGUGGGAUUUUGUAUAUACCAUAUGAAUAAGGAUCGGCUAACUCCGUGCCAGCAGCCGCGGUAAUACGGAGGAUCCGAGCGUUAUCCGGAUUUAUUGGGUUUAAAGGGAGCGUAGGUGGAUUGUUAAGUCAGUUGUGAAAGUUUGCGGAUCAACCGUAAAAUUGCAGUUGAAACUGGCAGUCUUGAGUACAGUAGAGGUGGGCGGAAUUCGUGGUGUAGCGGUGAAAUGCUUAGAUAUCACGAAGAACUCCGAUUGCGAAGGCAGUUCACUGGACUGCAACUGACACUGAGGCUCGAAAGUGUGGGUAUCAAACAGGAUUAGAUACCCCUGUAGUC
RNAcentral lists this ribosomal RNA (460 nucleotides) under uncultured bacterium. Its description in RNAcentral is "partial 16S ribosomal RNA". It matches the Rfam family "Bacterial small subunit ribosomal RNA", at positions 338 to 795 of the family's 1533-position model. The record is from RNAcentral.